AAGGUCAGGCUGAAGACCUUACCCGAUUAGCUGAGAGGUGGUGCAUGGCCGUCGUCAGUUCGUACUGUGAAGCAUCCUGUUAAGUCAGGCAACGAGCGAGACCCACGUCCACAGUUGCCAGCAUACCCUCCGGGGUGAUGGGUACACUGUGGAGACCGCCGCUGCUAAAGCGGAGGAAGGAGUGGGCAACGGUAGGUCAGUAUGCCCCGAAUCUCCCGGGCUACACGCGGGCUACGAAUGGUUGGUACAAUGGGCAUCUACCCCGAAAGGGGAAGGAAAAUCUCUUAAAGCCAAUCGUAGUUCGGAUUGAGGGCUGCAACUCGCCCUCAUGAAGCUGGAAUCCGUAGUAAUCGCGUUUCAACAGAACGCGGUGAAUACGUCCCUGCUCCUU
RNAcentral lists this ribosomal RNA (391 nucleotides) under uncultured Methanosaeta sp. RNAcentral describes it as "bacterial SSU rRNA". It matches the Rfam family "Archaeal small subunit ribosomal RNA", at positions 950 to 1338 of the family's 1478-position model. Lineage: Archaea; Methanobacteriati; Methanobacteriota; Methanomicrobia; Methanotrichales; Methanotrichaceae. The record is from RNAcentral.